Molecule: ribosomal RNA, 388 nt
Filed under: uncultured bacterium
Lineage: Bacteria
Description: bacterial SSU rRNA
Rfam family: Bacterial small subunit ribosomal RNA
Source: RNAcentral
GACGAACGCUGGCGGCGUGCUUAACACAUGCAAGUCGAGCGGUAAGGCCCUUUCGGGGGUACACGAGCGGCGAACGGGUGAGUAACACGUGGGUGACCUGCCUUUAGCUCUGGGAUAAGCCUGGGAAACCGGGUCUAAUACCGGAUAUGACUCCGCGGCGCAUGUUGUGGGGUGGAAAGCCUUGUGCGGCUGGAGAUGGGCCCGCGGCCUAUCAGCUUGUUGGUGGGGUGAUGGCCUACCAAGGCGACGACGGGUAGCCGGCCUGAGAGGGCUACCGGCCACACUGGGACUGAGACACGGCCCAGACUCCUACGGGAGGCAGCAGUGGGGAAUCUUGCGCAAUGGGCGAAAGCCUGACGCAGCGACGCCGCGUGAGGGAUGACGGCCU